This 304-nucleotide ribosomal RNA is filed under the name uncultured bacterium. Its description in RNAcentral is "partial 16S ribosomal RNA". It matches the Rfam family "Bacterial small subunit ribosomal RNA", at positions 506 to 809 of the family's 1533-position model. The record is from RNAcentral.
CAGCAGCAGCCACGGGAAUACGGAGGGUGCAAGCGUUGUCCGGAUUUAUUGGGUUUAAAGGGUGCGUAGGUGGGCGAAUAAGUCUGGUUUGAAAGCUGGUGGCUUAACCAUCAGAUGUGGCUGGAAACUGUUUGUCUUGAAUGGGUUGGCGGUAGCCGGAACGGGUCAUGUAGCGGUGAAAUGCAUAGAUAUGACCCAGAACACCGAUUGCGAAGGCAGGCUACUACGACUUGAUUGACACUGAGGCACGAGAGCAUGGGUAGCGAACAGGAUUAGAUACCCCUGUAGUCCCUGUCUCUUAUAU